Schistosoma rodhaini is the source of this 46-nucleotide non-coding RNA. The record is from Rfam. NCBI's taxonomy places the organism in Eukaryota, Metazoa, Platyhelminthes, Trematoda, Strigeidida, Schistosomatidae.
ACACUGCUGAGGAGUCCCAUAAUAGGACGAAGCGGACGUCCAGUGC